Molecule: long non-coding RNA, 888 nt
Organism: Octopus bimaculoides (California two-spot octopus)
Lineage: Eukaryota; Metazoa; Mollusca; Cephalopoda; Octopoda; Octopodidae
Source: RefSeq, a predicted model, not a curated record
UUCAUCUCAUUAGCAACGACAUGUUGCAUCUAUGAUUGACAUGUAAAUAGGUUGGUUGUGUACUUUAGAGGUUCUGGAAUUAAGUCGAUUUUGUGACAGCAACCACAAAACUGAGUCGAUCAAGCCCAUAUUAGUGCAAUGUGAUAGAAAACAAAUCCUUGUCGAAGCUUGUCCUGUAUAUCAUUAAAAUGGAAUGUCAAGUUAAGAAAAACGAACAUUCUUGACAUCUUUUUACUUUUAAUCAAGGUUAUAAGGCCGCAAAAGCUGCUCGGUACAUCUGUGCUAUGUAUAGAGAGGGUGCCAUAUCUGAAAGAACCGCUCGUGAUUGGUAUACCAAGUUCAAAAAUGAAACUUUUGACCUGAAAGACACACCUCGUUCUGGUUGUCCAGUUGAGUUCAAUGAAGAGCGAUUAAACCAACCUUUGUAUGAAAAUUCUCAUCAAACGUCAAAGGAACUGGAAGGGAAAAUGGAAUACUCCAACACUGCUAUAGAGAAGAAUCUUCACUCCGUCACCGCUCAACUCAUAGACACAGUCACCAUCCUGUCAGUGAAUGAUAGUGGAUUGUACUACUAACCAUAGUCUCUAGUUGGUCCGUUACCGUAGGAAGAGUUCCUUUGGCUUCUCUCACAUUGCUGUCAGGUUGGUGAUUUUGAUAAGAAUGAGAUGAUUUCUUUUAUAACAUUUGGCAUACCUGAAAAGCUUAUCAACUUCUGCGUUUGUAUGUGGCACUGAAACGUAUAUGACAUGGUGUACGUGAAUACGUGAAGUGUAGUCAUUAAAAGAGACAACAUCCAAAAUAUCUCUCCCUCACCUUUGUUAUUUCUUAACAGCUUAUACCCAUUUCAGUGACAUUUACAAAAUACUUCAGGUACAGUCAAGAUGAAAA